Molecule: long non-coding RNA, 274 nt
Organism: Neodiprion virginianus
Lineage: Eukaryota; Metazoa; Arthropoda; Insecta; Hymenoptera; Diprionidae
Exons: 3
Source: RefSeq, a predicted model, not a curated record
GAGAACAAGGUGGACGAGGAGGACAAGGAUUUGUACUCGUUUCGAGGUGGUUAGCGAUGGUCGUUGGAGGUGGUUUGCGGUGGUCAGAGGUGUAUAGGGGUGGUUGCGGGUGAUCUAGGGGGACGAGGAGGAGGCCAAGGGGGAGGAGGACGAGGAGAAUAAGGUGGAAGAGGAAGACGAGGAUUUCUGCAAAGUAUAACCCGAGGUGGUUGUCGGUGGUUCUUGGAGUUGGUCAGAGGUGGACGAGGAGGAGGACGAGGAAGACGAGGAGAAC